This 65-nucleotide transfer RNA is filed under the name Nannochorista philpotti. RNAcentral describes it as "tRNA-Arg". Lineage: Eukaryota; Metazoa; Arthropoda; Insecta; Mecoptera; Nannochoristidae. The record is from RNAcentral.
AAGUCAGAAGCGAUUUAAUUGCAGUUAGUUUCGACCUAACCUUAGAUGAAUAACAUCCUAACUUU